AUUGAACGCUGGCGGAAUGCUUUACACAUGCAAGUCGAACGGCAGCACGGGUGCUUGCACCUGGUGGCGAGUGCGAACGGGUGAGUAACAUAUCGGAACGUACCCAGUAAUGGGGGAUAACUAGUCGAAAGAUUAGCUAAUACCGCAUACGCCCUGAGGGGGAAAGCGGGGGAUCGUAAGACCUCGCGUUAUUGGAGCGGCCGAUAUCUGAUUAGCUAGUUGGUGGGGUAAAGGCCUACCAAGGCGACGAUCAGUAGCUGGUCUGAGAGGACGACCAGCCACACUGGAACUGAGACACGGUCCAGACUCCUACGGGAGGCAGCAGUGGGGAAUUUUGGACAAUGGGCGCAAGCCUGAUCCAGCCAUUCCGCGUGAGUGAAGAAGGCCUCGGGUUGUAAAGCUCUUUCGCAAGGGAAGAAACGAUACGAGCGAAUAACUCGUGUUAAUGACGGUACCUUGAUAAGAAGCACCGGCUAACUACGUGCCAGCAGCCGCGGUAAUACGUAGGGUGCGAGCGUUAAUCGGAAUUACUGGGCGUAAAGCGUGCGCAGGCGGUUUUGUAAGUCAGAUGUGAAAUCCCCGGGCUCAACCUGGGAACUGCGUUUGAAACUACAAGGCUAGAGUAUAGGAGAGGGGGGUAGAAUUCCACGUGUAGCAGUGAAAUGCGUAGAGAUGUGGAGGAAUUACCAAUGGCGAAGGCAGCCCCUGGCCUAAUACUGACCGCUCAUGC
This 730-nucleotide ribosomal RNA is filed under the name uncultured bacterium. RNAcentral describes it as "bacterial SSU rRNA". It matches the Rfam family "Bacterial small subunit ribosomal RNA", at positions 28 to 752 of the family's 1533-position model. The record is from RNAcentral.